Molecule: ribosomal RNA, 232 nt
Filed under: uncultured bacterium
Lineage: Bacteria
Description: partial 16S ribosomal RNA
Rfam family: Bacterial small subunit ribosomal RNA
Source: RNAcentral
CGGGACGGGGUGGAGUAAUGUCUGGGAAACUGCCUGAUGGAGGGGGAUAACUACUGGAAACGGUAGCUAAUACCGCAUAACGUCGCAAGACCAAAGAGGGGACUCGGGCCUCUUGCCAUCGGAUGUGCCCAGAUGGGAUUAGCUAGUAGGUGGGGUAACGGCUCACCUAGGCGACGAUCCCUAGCUGGUCUGAGAGGAUGACCAGCCACACUGGAACUGAGACACGGUCCAG